RNAcentral lists this transfer RNA (73 nucleotides) under Stegodyphus mimosarum. It matches the Rfam family "tRNA". From Rfam's summary of the family: Transfer RNA (tRNA) molecules are approximately 80 nucleotides in length. Their secondary structure includes four short double-helical elements and three loops (D, anti-codon, and T loops). Further hydrogen bonds mediate the characteristic L-shaped molecular structure. tRNAs have two regions of fundamental functional importance: the anti-codon, which is responsible for specific mRNA codon recognition, and the 3' end, to which the tRNAs corresponding amino acid is attached (by aminoacyl-tRNA synthetases). tRNAs cope with the degeneracy of the genetic code in two manners: having more than one tRNA (with a specific anti-codon) for a particular amino acid; and 'wobble' base-pairing, i.e. permitting non-standard base-pairing at the 3rd anti-codon position. The record is from Rfam by way of RNAcentral. Lineage: Eukaryota; Metazoa; Arthropoda; Arachnida; Araneae; Eresidae.
ACCUUCGUGGUGAAGUGGUUAGCACGUUCGACGCUUAACCGAGAGGUCCGUGGUUAGAUUCCCGGCAAAGGCA